This 534-nucleotide long non-coding RNA is filed under the name Homo sapiens (human). RNAcentral's name for it is "HSALNT0173367". The record is from RNAcentral. Lineage: Eukaryota; Metazoa; Chordata; Mammalia; Primates; Hominidae.
CGAGUGUGUCGCCGCGGCCAUCAGGGGCUAGAGCAAUGUAUCUUAGGCUCACUUAAGGAAGCUGUAGAGAUGAGCCCAAGGAGGGAAACCAGAAGAGCCCCCCAGGCUCACCAGUUGUUUGUUGGCUCCCUACAAACAUGUCAUUCAAGUGGCUAAUCUUACAACAGCACAAAUUCAUCUAACCAGAAAGAGAAGAGGAGGCUCCAAAGGCACUUGACUACUGAGCAUCACCCUGGACGUGUACAAGUCUGCGUCCUUAUUGUUUUCUUCAUUGGGCCGAACUUUCUGGUCCUCAUCCAACAGCUCUUCUAUCACGUGUUCGAAAGUGUCAGCCAAUGAUGUCAAGCCUCUUGAACCUGCCUUGGGCCCAUUCACGCUCUCCAGAGUCCCAUGGGUCCGCACACCUGGGUAGGCCAAGCCACCUUGUCCUCGGAUGUUUGCUUCUUUCAUGGGGGCAGCCUUCAUGCAACCAAAGUAUGAAAUAACCAUAGUAAGGAAAAGGAUGGUCAUCACUCUUCUCACCUGGUGGAACUG